UAGAUCUUGCUUCUAGGUUCACUUGUUCAACCUAUGUUCACGACACUAGGUUAAUGCCACUCGAUCUAUUCAAUACCUAAUUGUCCACAUCGAGUUUCUAUAAACAUCCACAUUAUCAACAUGCAUAUUAUACUUAGCCUUUUCUCAUUAUGUCACUAUGUGUAACCCCCGAGAUCUCGGUGAAAUAUUGUGGACUUUAGCCAAAUUGACUAAAGUACUCGAAAGGAUUGGUUGGACGCGAUCCCUUAACAUCCCAACCAUGUUAGAAGGUUAAAAAUGAGUUCUAAAAGAGUUGGAAUGGUUUUAGCGUUGUUCGGUACGAAAUAGAAUCGAAAACGAGCUAAAACUGCAUUCUGGAGCAUUGUGUACCGGUACAGGUUGAUGGCUGUACCGGUACAGCAAGCGACCUGAAGAAAAGGCUACUCUCGGAUUUGGGCUGGAAAAAGGCUGUGUAUCGGUGACAGGAUUUCGUGUACCGGUACAGUGCACCGUGGACCACAGAAAAAGGCUGUUGUACCGGUGACAGGAACCCGUGUACCGGUACGGCGCACUGUGGACCGCAGGUGCAGCCUGCUACCGAAUUAGAGAGUUGGAGGGCCUAACUGCAAUUGUAGCAGCCCAAAUAAGACCCAAACCCUCUCCUCUCUUCACAGCAACAAGGAGAUCUCUCUCUCCCUCAUUUUCUCUCUCUAGAGAGCUCUCCAAGAGGUGGAUUUGGAGGAGUAGCUUGAGGGAUUUGAGGCUUUUGGAAGCUUGGGAGUUCUCCAACAAGAAGAACCUUGGAUAGCAUUGUGGCUAAGGUGAGGUUCCGUGCAAGAGUGGGUCUAGGGUUUGGUUUUAUGCCCUAGAACUCAUGGUUUUGGCUCUUUUGCAUAUGUAGAAACCCUCUAGAGUCUUGAGAACAUAUGAAAACCAUGGUUUCUCAAAGUCCUCUCAUGGUGAACUUCUAGGGUUCAUAUUUGAUGCCCUAGAAAUGGUUCAAAUGGUUUAGAAACGAGAUUAGAGAGCUUCUUGGGUGGUUCUAAGCUUGAUUAUGCUUAGCAACGAGAUCAAUCCUAAGAAAUUUAAUUAUGACUUGGUUAGGGCACCAAAUUUAGGGCUUUUGCCACCGGGUGUUUCUAAGAAAAAUUGGCCUUGUAGAAACCUAAUUGGGGACCUAACGAAUGCGUUGAAACGCUCGGUUCGGCAAUCCGACGAACGUACGCGAAGUUAUUGACGAAACGGUCGGUUUUGGUACAGAUAGCCGCAGCACGUGGAAUAAAGGUCUAAAAAUCAUGAGAUCGGAACUGGAGCACAUUGGAGUCAAGGAAUAAACUCCGGAAAAGACGGAUCGCGGUUCGGAGGUCGUUUGGAAGUCGCGCAAGAGUUCGGGCCAAACCGAGCAACGGUUGCCACGGGAGGCCGAUUGCAAAUGACUACAAGCAAUCGGAGCGCGAGUUAAGGUGGGUUGGUUUACUGAAGCGACUAGGUCGCCUUUAUGCCUAAGAAAUCAAGAAUCCAUGUUGAUGCAUAUAAAUGUAAAUGAAGCAUGUAAAUAAUGCAAGUAGCUAAAUAAUGCAUGUUGAUAGUGUGAUGUAAAUGAGAUAUAGAAUGCACUAUGAGCAAGUUGAAUAAAGCUAGAUAAUUAUGUGAAUGCAUGUAAGCAUAAUGCAUAGAAUGAAAGGCAUAUUGAUGACAUAAGUUAAAAUGAGAUAUAGAAUGCAUGAUGAACAAGUUAUAUAAUGCUACAUAAUUACAUGAAUGCAUGUGAACAUAAUAGAUAGAAUGCAUGUUGACAUUGUGAGACUAAAUGUGCAUGAAAACUAAGUUGAUAACCCUAGAAUGAUUAAAGUAAAUGAUGCUAUGUUAAGGUAUAGAUGAUGAGCAUGAUAUGAAAAUAGUACAUGCAAGUACAUGGUAAGAAUGCUAAGAAAAGGACAACAAGUAUAGGUGGACAUGAAUCAACCUAUAGAUCGAGUGGCAUAAAUCCUAGUGUCAAGAACAUAGGUUAAAUAAGAAUGAUGCCAAACCUAACGUAAGGAACAUAGGUUGUGAUAUAAAGGUGCUUAACCUAGAGUCAAGUGAACUUAGGUUGGAAAGAAUAAUAAUCCUAGUGUAAUAAACCUAGGUUAAGAAUGUGAAAGCAAUAAACCUAAUGGGCUAAUUUAGGUUGAGUAAAGGCUUAGACCUAGAGUGGUCAGUUCCAUAGGGUUAAGACCAACCCUUGGUUAAUGUGAUAUGGAUUCCGGAAUCUCAAAGCUUGCUGAUACACCCAAAGUGGUGUCGGGUGUGUGCGACGAUUUCGCCACCCAGGGGCUAGAGAACCAUUGUCGUGGCGUGUGUGCGAUGAUUUUGCCGCUGGAUGGUUAGCCAGUUUGUGGAUCCUACCGCCUGUUGACUGAACCACUGUCGUGGCGUGUGUGCGACGAUUUCGCCGCCGGGUGGCUAAGUCAUUGAACCUAGGCCGUUGUUGGGUGAGGUGCGAUUCGUUCGCCGCCAGACGGCUAGGACAGGAGUACGGUGAGCUGUUGCCAGCUGAGGUGCAUGUGAGAGUUCCUUCACCUCGAGCUAGACAGUGCGCGGACUAUCCGCGAUUGAUUGACUCAAGACCGAGUCGGGUGGCUUUGUUGACUAAGGUAAAGUGACCUUAGAGUAGAAUGCCAAAGGCUAAGAUAUAGCAUGGUUCAAGAAUGUUAAGAGUAAAGAAUAGCUAAAGAACAAAGAGUGGCUAAAGAAUAAUGAAUAGCUAAAGAAAGGAAUAGCUAAGAGCUAAAAGUAAGCAUCAAAUGGCAAAGAGUAAAGAAUGAUUAAGAACAUAAGUAGUGUUAAAGUAACCUACUUGCAUGAUUCCAGAUAUUGCAUAUUGCAUU
RNAcentral lists this long non-coding RNA (2849 nucleotides) under Ananas comosus (pineapple). Its description in RNAcentral is "long non-coding RNA (ACOM_LNC013505)". Lineage: Eukaryota; Viridiplantae; Streptophyta; Magnoliopsida; Poales; Bromeliaceae. The record is from RNAcentral.